This 29-nucleotide non-coding RNA is filed under the name Ureibacillus massiliensis 4400831 = CIP 108448 = CCUG 49529. The record is from RNAcentral. Lineage: Bacteria; Bacillati; Bacillota; Bacilli; Caryophanales; Caryophanaceae.
CUUUAAAUCCCACUACAUUCAGAUAAAAC